GACGAACGCUGGCGGCGUGCUUAACACAUGCAAGUCGAACGGAAAGGCCCUGCUUUUGUGGGGUGCUCGAGUGGCGAACGGGUGAGUAACACGUGAGUAACCUGCCCUUGACUUUGGGAUAACUUCAGGAAACUGGGGCUAAUACCGGAUAGGAGCUCCUGCUGCAUGGUGGGGGUUGGAAAGUUUCGGCGGUUGGGGAUGGACUCGCGGCUUAUCAGCUUGUUGGUGGGGUAGUGGCUUACCAAGGCUUUGACGGGUAGCCGGCCUGAGAGGGUGACCGGCCACAUGGGGCGUGGGAAGGGACCCGGGCCCAAUAGGGGGGAAGGGGGGGGAAAUUUUGCAAAAGGGGCCGAGGCUGGGGGGAAAAACCCCGGGGGGGGGAGGACGGCUUUGGGGGUGUAAACCGAUUUCGCUUUUGCCGAGGUGUGGGGGCGGUAAAUGGGGAAAAAACACCCGCUAACUUACGG
Molecule: ribosomal RNA, 467 nt
Filed under: uncultured bacterium
Lineage: Bacteria
Description: partial 16S ribosomal RNA
Rfam family: Bacterial small subunit ribosomal RNA
Source: RNAcentral